Molecule: long non-coding RNA, 97 nt
Organism: Syngnathus acus (greater pipefish)
Lineage: Eukaryota; Metazoa; Chordata; Actinopteri; Syngnathiformes; Syngnathidae
Exons: 3
Source: RefSeq, a predicted model, not a curated record
UCAAACUCCAUCAUGGCAGCACAUUGGGAUGCACCAUUUCUCUGACAAAACCAUUAAGAACAGAUACAAGUUGUUGCAAAAUCAGGGAAAAUAAAAA